AAGUCGUAACAAGGUCUCCGUUGGUGAACCAGCGGAGGGAUCAUUACAGAGUUGCAAAACUCCCAACCCUUUGUGAACGAACCUACCAGUUGCUUCGGCGGGAAGCCCCCUGGGGCGGACCGCCGGAGGAAUACAAACUCUUGAAUUUUUGGCAUCUCUGAGUACUUAUUAAAUAAGUUAAAACUUUCAACAACGGAUCUCUUGGUUCUG
This 210-nucleotide unclassified non-coding RNA is filed under the name Apodus deciduus. RNAcentral describes it as "partial internal transcribed spacer region". The stretch from base 1 to 46 matches the Rfam family "Eukaryotic small subunit ribosomal RNA", at positions 1786 to 1831 of the family's 1831-position model. The record is from RNAcentral. Lineage: Eukaryota; Fungi; Ascomycota; Sordariomycetes; Sordariales; Lasiosphaeriaceae.